Molecule: ribosomal RNA, 782 nt
Filed under: uncultured marine microorganism
Description: bacterial SSU rRNA
Rfam family: Bacterial small subunit ribosomal RNA
Source: RNAcentral
AGAGUUUGAUCAUGGCUCAGGAUGAACGCUGGCGGUAUGCCUAACACAUGCAAGUCGAACGAUGUCUUCGGACAUAGUGGCGGACGGGUGAGUAACGCGUGAGAAUCUGCCUCUAGGAUGGGGAUAACGGUUGGAAACGACCGCUAACACCCAAUAUGCCGUAAGGUGAAAAAUUUAUUGCCUGGAGAGGAGCUCGCGUCUGAUUAGCUAGUUGGUGGGGUAAGAGCUCACCAAGGCUUCGAUCAGUAGCUGGUCUGAGAGGAUGAGCAGCCACACUGGGACUGAGACACGGCCCAGACUCCUACGGGAGGCAGCAGUGGGGAAUUUUCCGCAAUGGGCGAAAGCCUGACGGAGCAAUACCGCGUGAGGGAGGAAUGCCUUUGGGUUGUAAACCUCUUUUCUCAGGGAAGAAGAUCUGACGGUACCUGAGGAAUAAGUAUCGGCUAACUCCGUGCCAGCAGCCGCGGUAAUACGGAGGAUGCAAGCGUUAUCCGGAAUCAUUGGGCGUAAAGCGUCCGCAGGUGGUUUCCAAAGUCUGCUGCUAAAGACUGGAGCUCAACUCCGGAACGGCGGUGGAAACUUGGAAACUAGAGUUCGGUAGGGGUAGCAGGAAUUCCCAGUGUAGCGGUGAAAUGCGUAGAUAUUGGGAAGAACAUCGGUGGCGAAGGCGUGCUACUGGACCGUAACUGACACUCAGGGACGAAAGCUAGGGGAGCGAAAGGGAUUAGAUACCCCUGUAGUCCUAGCUGUAAACGAUGGAAACUAGGUGUGGCUUGUAUCGA